CCACCACCACCACCGUUUGACAUCUACCCUGCCUCCAUUUAGUAUGAAUAUAUAUACUUAUAAACAUGCAUCUAUUUUUCUUUUAUGAAAUAGUGGUCUAUUUUUACAAGUACUGUCUAAAUUUGAGGAAAUAAUUGAUGAUCUGACGAUCCCAAAUGAAGUGAGCUUACGGACGAAUCUCACACUGGUCCUGCAGUUCAUCUGGAUGUGUUUUGUUCUCUGCUCCUGUGCUGAGCGCCGGGGGCGCGGACGAGGAAAGACACGAGGCACAUGACUGUCCAGCCCGGGGGAACCUUCCAGUAACCGCCGCCCUGCUCCACUCAUCACCUCGAGGAAGAGGGGCGACAGAAGCAUCCCUCACGUGGGCAACACAACCCACACAUUUGGGUGGAGGAAUCCUUCCAUGUGCGUGCAAGCCCAAAGAAACGGCCGGUUCUUCCCAGAGGAUUUUUAACAUGACCUGCCUGGUGGGAAGUGUUCCACAGACGAUCUCAGCAAAAUUGUCUUAAUGAAACAUGAAUCAUGACCUUUCAUGAAGUGGCACAUCAUUGGUGGGUGAGGCUGUGCAGUGUGUGUGUGUGUGUGUGUGUGUGUGUGUGUGUGUGUGUGUGUGUGUGUGUGUGUGUCCCUCUCCCCUCUGUCCUUACGCGUUCACGUGUAUUUGAUCAGAAGGAGAGUGAGCCGCAUAAAGGCCGUGGUGUAAGAUCCUGAGAUUUCUCUCUGUAGCGUCGGUCACUUGCAGUGGCCAUCGUAGAGGGGAAGGUUUCACUUCUGCCACUAGAGGGGGUGAGAGAUCUGAUAGGAAGUGACGGGUUCUAUACAAACACACCGAGAAGCGUCUGAUGGAAAGAGGACAAAUCCUUCUCAGCAAUUUCAAACGCAGCAGGGUCUGACUAAAAACAGAGAGAGGAGAAAGAUGUUUUAAGUAUAUAUAAAUGUGAUAUAUAGAGAGAGAUUUUUCUAAAGAGAUUUUGAACAAUACAAAUAUUUUUGAUAUUUCACAAGAUGAUUUUAAAAGGUAGCUUACUACUACUUUGCAGUACUGUAAUCACAGCAGGGCAUAUAUGGAUUAUUUAUUUAUGUAUCAUUAAAAAGUACAGAUCAAGAACAAAAUAUUUAUAUGUUUCUUACGUAAGAAAAACAGGAAAAUGGGUAUAAACUAAAUGUGAAAUAAAAGAAGAAAAAUGAUGAUGCCAAAUACAUGUUUUGUGCGCAGACAAGGCAUGACCCACAGACAGAAGACAUGAUGGACUCCUCUUCAUCAUUCAUCGCUGUGGUCUCCUAUGCAUUUAACUAGAGAUGGACAGACGCUCUCUGGAAACACUCCGACUGUUUUCGCCUCUAUCCUGUUUGUCCCUUCCCUUGUAUCUGAUCUCCCUUUGUCUUAUAUGUGUGACGGUCUCCCUGUGUCUUAUACUGUAUGUGUGACGGUCUCC
Long non-coding RNA from Clupea harengus (Atlantic herring), 1436 nucleotides. The record is from Ensembl. Lineage: Eukaryota; Metazoa; Chordata; Actinopteri; Clupeiformes; Clupeidae.